CUCUCUCUCUCUCUCUCUCUCUCUCUCUCUCUCUCUCUCUCUCUCUCUCUCUCUCUCUCUCUCUCUCUCUCUCUCUCUCUCUCUCUCUCUCUCUCUCUGUCAGCACGGGGCAUCACCAGACUCACGUCAUGUUUACUGAAUUGAAGGCCAAGUUGUAUAAAGUGUAAUAUAUAUAAUCAGAGUGUGCGUGUGUGCGUGUGUGCUCACCCACGCCUGGCCCGCCCACCCCUACACACACACACACACAGAGAGAGAGAGAGAGAGAGAGAGAGAGAGAGAGAGAGAGAGAGAGAGAGAGAGAGAGAGAGAGAGAGAGAGAGAGACAUACAUACUUACUUACAUACAUACAUAUAUACAUACAUACACACAUACAAACAGACAGACAGAGAGAGAGACAGACAGACAGGGGUGGACAGGCACACUCUAAUACCUUACAAUAAAAUGUUUUCCACGAAAACUUAUCGAUGUAUUUGUAAAUAAAAAGAUUUCUAAGGAUU
Molecule: long non-coding RNA, 497 nt
Organism: Portunus trituberculatus (swimming crab)
Lineage: Eukaryota; Metazoa; Arthropoda; Malacostraca; Decapoda; Portunidae
Exons: 2
Source: RefSeq, a predicted model, not a curated record